GCUUUGGUGGCCUAAGUGGUUAGAGCAUCAGCCUCAGAUGCAUGAGGUUGUGGGUUCGAACCCCAGCUGAGUCA
Molecule: non-coding RNA, 74 nt
Organism: Potamilus streckersoni
Lineage: Eukaryota; Metazoa; Mollusca; Bivalvia; Unionida; Unionidae
Source: the annotation of a GenBank genome assembly